RNAcentral lists this ribosomal RNA (263 nucleotides) under uncultured archaeon. RNAcentral's name for it is "partial 16S ribosomal RNA". It matches the Rfam family "Archaeal small subunit ribosomal RNA", at positions 716 to 982 of the family's 1478-position model. The record is from RNAcentral.
ACGUCUACAUUAGAUACCCCCGUAGUCCCAGCCGUAAACUAUGCGCGUUAGGUGUAUCGGUGACCACGAGUUACCGAGGUGCCGAAGGGAAACCGUGAAACGUGCCGCCUGGGAAGUACGGUCGCAAGGCUAGAAACUUAAAGGAAUUGGCGGGGAGCACCACAACGGGUGGAGCCUGCGGUUUAAUUGGACUCAACGCCGGGAAGCUCACCGGAUAAGACAGCGGAAUGAUUGCCGGGCUGAAGACUCUGCAUGACUAGCUG